UCUAACCACAAGGAGGGCUCGGCCGAAAGUUGGUCUUGAAACUGGGGUGAUUGAGUUCGGGGUAACAAAUCGCAAUUGAAUUUGCGGCGGCCAGAUGGUCAAAUAUAUGGAAGAACUCCCAUGGCGUUGGAUGCUCACCUGGCGAAGACUGACGCGGAACCGCGAAAGCUUGGGGAGCGAACAGGAUUAGAUGCUUUGGGAGUCCACGCUGUAAACGUUGUAUACUAGGUGUUAGCGGCUAGUCUGCUAGUGCCGAAGCAAACGCAUUAAGUAUACCGCCUGGGGAGUACGCCCGCAAGGGUGAAACUCAAAGAAAUUGACGGGGGCCCGCACAAGCGGAGGAGCAUGUGGCUUAAUUCGAUGCAACGCGAAGAACCUUACCCGGGUUUGACAUGUGACUGCAAGUCCCGUGAAAGCGGGAUUCCUUCGAGGGUGUCACACAGGUGCUGCAUGGCUGUCGUCAGUUCGUGCCGUGAGGUGUUUGGUUAAGUCCAGCAACGAACGCAACCCCUGUGACCAGUUGCCAGCGCGUAAAGGCGGGAACUCUGGUCAGACUGCCUGUUUACACAGGAGGAAGGUGGGGAUGACGUCAAGUCAGUAUGGCCCUUACAUCCGGGGCUGCACACGUGCUACAAUGGCCGGUACAAAGGGAAGCGAGACCGCGAGGUGGAGCAAACCCCCAGAGCCUGCCCCAGUUCAGAUUGCGGUCUGCAACCCGA
RNAcentral lists this ribosomal RNA (719 nucleotides) under uncultured bacterium. RNAcentral's name for it is "bacterial SSU rRNA". It matches the Rfam family "Bacterial small subunit ribosomal RNA", at positions 588 to 1315 of the family's 1533-position model. The record is from RNAcentral.